CGCACGGGUGAGUAACGCGUAGAUAACCUGUCUUCAUGUCUGGAAUAAUACGCCAAAGGGGUACUAAUACCGGAUAUUCUUGCUUUUCAUAAGUUAUGCAAGCAAAGGUGGCCUCUGCAUAUGCUACUGCAUGAAGAGGGGUCUGCGUACCAUUAGCUAGUAGGUGGGGUAAUGGCCUACCUAGGCGACGAUGGUUAGCGGGUCUGAGAGGAUGAUCCGCCACACUGGCACUGGAACACGGGCCAGACUCCUACGGGAGGCAGCAGUGAGGAAUAUUGCGCAAUGGGGGAAACCCUGACGCAGCGACGCCGCGUGAGUGAAGGAAGGCCUUCGGGUCGUAAAGCUCUGUCAAGAGGAAAGAAGUGUACAAUGGCUAAUACCUGUUGUAUUUGACGGUACCUCUAAAGGAAGCACCGGCUAACUCCGUGCCAGCAGCGGC
This 439-nucleotide ribosomal RNA is filed under the name uncultured bacterium. RNAcentral describes it as "bacterial SSU rRNA". It matches the Rfam family "Bacterial small subunit ribosomal RNA", at positions 99 to 518 of the family's 1533-position model. The record is from RNAcentral.